GAGUCCCUGCCCGGGUCUUCCUGCCUCCACGUGGCGAAGCCGCACCUGAAGCCCCACCUGGUCGCAAAGGCUGGUGCAGGGGAAACCGUUGGUUCAGCUGCGGUUCCUGGGAAGGGGGUGCCGCUCUGAUCACGCGCACUUCUGAUUCCCCUCUCGGGGCUCGGAAGCGGCUGAGGGCUCUGGACCCGGUCUCCGAGGCGUGAGGCGGUGGGAGGGUCGGCGGCCGCGUCCUCCACGACCCUGGGGAGAAGUCCCAGUUUCCGCGCAGCCGACAACGGAGUUAACCUCACCGAAAGAUACAACCGAUUUAAGAAGAAAAUGUUAAAACUCUCUUCAAGGGCCUAUAGAAGAAACGGGAUGAAUGGAAACGUGAUUCACUCUGUGGACUGGCAGAUACCUCUGGAAAUCUGGUGUUCUAUUGUAAUAAGUUCUCGGGAAGGUAGAGACUUUUAUUUGGGACAUAGAGGCUUGGCCAACCAGAAUGGAGGACCCACCCAAGUCCCGCCCCCAAGCCUGAGCCCUCUCCUUUGCUCCACCCACUCUGCCUGAAGUCCCCUCAACCCCUCCGACUUCGCAGUCUCCCAGCCCGGCCUUCUGGGGCUGGUCUUCAUUGGAAGCCACGCCCCCAGGUCUGUCGGAUAAACAUUUUACAACCUAUUCUCUCUGAAGUCUAGUACCUGGAGGCUUCCUCUGGAAAUAAGAACUUGGGUCUCCCGCCUGGCCAACAUGACGAAACCCCGUCUCUACUAGAAAUACAAAAAUUAGCCGGUCGUGGUGGCACACACCUGUAAUCCUAGCUACUCAGGAGGCUGCGGCAGGAGAAUUGCUGGAACCCGGUAGGCGCAGGUUACAGUGAGCUGAGGUCGUGCCACUGCACUCCAGCCUGGGCGACAGAGCGAGACUGCGUCUCCGAAAAAAAAAAAAAAAAAAAUUAGCCGGGCAUGGUGGCGGGCGCCUGUAAUCCCAGCUAUUCUGGUGGCUGAGCCAGGAGAAUCGCUUGAACCCGGGAGGUGGAGGUUGCAGUGAGCCGAGAUGGUGCCAUUGCACUCCAGGCUGGGCAACAAGAGCGAGACUCCAUCUCAAAAAAGAAAAAAGAAAAAAAAAAAAAAGAACUUGGGUCUCCACAACCUCAAGCCUCCUCUCAAAAAAAGAAAAAAAGUUUUAAUCUCCCUAUAAGCUGGAAUCCCCACUCCCACCCCACCCCAGCUCCCGGUUUGAGCUGUCCUGCCAUUCUGGAACAAAUGAAUGUAUUUCUUUUCCUUUUUUUUUUUUUUUUUUUUUGAGACGGUGUCUCGCUCUGUCACCCAGGCUGGAGUGCAGUGGUGCCAUCUCCGCUCACUGCAACCUCCGCCUCCCUGGUUCAAGCGAUUCUCCUGCCUCAGCCUCCUGAGUAGCUGGGAUAACUGGCGCGUGCCACCACACCCGGCUAAUUUUGUAUUUUUAGUAGAGACGGGGUUUCACCAUCUUGGUUAGGCUGGUCUCGAACUCUGACCUCAUGUGAUCCGCCCACCUCGGCCUACCAAAGGGCUGGGAUUACAGGCGUGAGCCACCGCGCCCGGCCAAUAUAUUUCUUAAAUGUAUUUGAUUGAAGUCUCAUGUCUCCCUAAAAUGUACAAAACCAACUGCACCCCAGUCACCUUGGGCACAUGUUCUCCUGGCCUCCUGAGGGCUGUAUCACCGGCCAUGGUCACUCAUAUUUGGCUCAGAAUGAAUCUCUUAAAAUAUUUUACAGAGUUUGACGCUUUUCGUCGACAUUGCUUAGGCUGGCAUCGAAUUCCUGGGCUCAAGCUGUAAUUGCCGGAGGGUUCUUCCUGCCCACUGCAUAAAGAAAGACAAUGGCAUUGUAGUAAAGGAAGAGUUUAGUGGACAUGAGGCUGGCCAUGCCACGUGGGAGUCGAAGUUCCUACUCAAAUCAUCUCAAAGCUCCUAGGUUAGGGGUUUUCCAAAGACAGUUUGGGGGAACGGGUGGGGAUGGCAGAGUAACAGGUGCUUGCUGCUGAUUGGUUGGGGCAGAUGCAAUCAUAGGGGGGUCGAAGCCUUCCUCCUACAGGCUGAAUCGAUUUUGGGUGGGGCCAUAGGAGCAGGGUUGACGGGUCCAUGAGGAGUGUUAGGUGUCAGACAUGCAAUAAAACCUGAAAGGGUAUCUCCAAAGGCCAAUCUGGGGUUCUGCAAUAGUGGUGUUAUUUGCAGGAGUAAUUGGGGAAGUUGCAUAUCUCAUAACCUCUGGAAUAGUGGCUGACAUACAUUUCUGCGCCUUUGCAGGAAUCAGGCUCCUCUCCUGCUGAUGGCUCCCCAUUAGUUUUACCAAAGCGAUUGAGUUUUAGGCAAAGCUUAUUAUCACCUAAACUAUAGCCUAAAUGUUUCUUAAAGUUACCUCAGCCCAAUAGCCCAGGAAAUAUUAAGGGAAAGGGAAGAUGGGGGGUGGAUUGGCUCAGAUCUCUUUCACUGUCAUAAUUUUCUGAUAUAUAUUUUUUUGAGACAGGGUCUCACUCUGUUACCCAGGCUAGAGUGCAGAGGUGCAAUCACAGCUCACUGCAGCCUCGACCUCCCCAGGCUCAAAUGACCUGCCCAUUCUGGAGUUCAUUCAGCCUCACAAAAUGUUGGAAUUACAGGCGUGAGCCACCUCGACUGUCCUGAUUAUUAUUUUUGCAAAGGCAAUGGUUGACAAAGAGUCAAACUCUGUAAAAUAUUUGAAGAGAUUUAUUCUGAGCCAAAUAUGAGUGACCAUGGCCCACGACACAGCCCUCAGGAUGUCCUGAGAACAUGUGACAAAAGUGGUUGGGGUGCAGCUUGGUUUUAUAUAUUUUAGGGAGACAUGAGACAUCAAUCAAACACAUUUAAUAAAUACAUUGGCUUGGUCCAGAAAAGCAGGACAACUCAAAGCAGGAAGCUUCCACGCUAUAGGUAAAUUUAAACUUUUUUUUUUUUUUUUUUUUUGAGAUGGAGUUUCGCUCUUGUUGCCCAGGCUGGAGUGCAAUGGUGUGAACUCGGCUCACCGCAACCUCCGCCUCCCAGGUGCAGGCGAUUCUCCUGCCUCAGCCUCCCGAGUAGCUGGGAUUACAGACAUGUGCCACCACGUCCGGCUAAUUUUGUAUUUUUAGUAGAGACGGGGUUUCUCCAUGUUGGUCAGGCUGGUCUCGAACUCCCGACCUCAGGUGAUCCGCCUGCCUCUGCCUCCCAGUGUUGGGAUUACAGGCGUGAGCCACCGCGCUCGGCCAUAUGUGCAAUUUAUUACAUGUUAAUUAUACCUCAGUGAAGCUGUAGGGGCUGGGCAUGGUGAGUAGUUCACACCUGUAAUCCCAGCACUUUGGGAGGCUGUGGCAGGCAGAUCGCUUGAGCCCAAAACUUUGAGACCAGCCUGGGCAAUAUGGUGAGACCCCAUCUCUACAAAAAAAGAAAAAUUAGCUGGGCAUGGUGGCAUGUGCCUAUAGUCCCAGGUACUUGUGUGGCUGAGAGGGUAAGGAACACUACAGCCCUGGAGGUCAAGGCUGAGAUGAGCCAUGAUGCGCUCUGGCCUGGGCAACAAAGCAAGACCCUGUCUCGAAAAAAAAUUUUUUCUUUUUUUCCUAAAGAAUGUGUAGGCCAAGUUAACCCUCCAGACAGGUAAGAAUGUGAUAUGUGUCAUAGCCUGUAAUUUAUACAAUAACAUCAAGGCUGCUUUGGUCCAAGGGCAGGAUCUAUGGCGAGUAUAUGUUCUUACACAAGAACAGUAAAUAAAGUAGAAAUCCUGGCUGGGUGCAGUGGCUCAUGCCUGUAAUCCCGGCACUUUGGGAGGCCAAGGUGGGCGGAUGGCUUGAGCCCAAGAGUUCAAGACCAGCCUGGGCAACAUGACGAAACCCUAUGUCUUAAAACAAAAAACAAAAAAAAACAAAAAACCACCAGGCAUGGUAGUGUGCACCUGUAGUCUCAAUUACUUGGGAGGCUGAGGUGGGAG
RNAcentral lists this long non-coding RNA (3934 nucleotides) under Homo sapiens (human). RNAcentral describes it as "non-protein coding lnc-UBL5-7:7". The record is from RNAcentral. Lineage: Eukaryota; Metazoa; Chordata; Mammalia; Primates; Hominidae.